Ictalurus furcatus (blue catfish) is the source of this 3878-nucleotide long non-coding RNA. RefSeq lists it as uncharacterized. The transcript is spliced from 4 exons. Lineage: Eukaryota; Metazoa; Chordata; Actinopteri; Siluriformes; Ictaluridae. The record is from RefSeq and is a predicted model, not a curated record.
UUUCCACGACAAUUUGGCGUCAAUGGCUGGGCUGCGCGAGUAUUUCAGCUUUUCUGGACAACAAGCAAACCAGAGGACGCUCGUGGAAAAUUUUCACCCCGAAGUCUGUGUUGACGCGACGGCAGUUUGUCCUUUAUUGAGCAGAGUGAAAGACCGACGCAGCCUUACUACUGACUGUAUGUACAACAAGAAGUGAGAUUUCUUGGAUCAUGACAUUUCUGCAAAGGGAAAGAAACUCUGCGCUGAAAGAGUAUCUGCAAUCCAGAAGAUUCUCAAGCCUCUGAUGAAGAAACAGAUUCUAUCUUUCCUAGAGGGAGACGGGGAACUACAUGACUGUGUUGUACUGAAUAACGAACACUGCUCUCCUAGAGUCAACCUGGAAGAUGUUCCAUUGGAAAACUCAGAUCUGAUCCUCUUUGUGGACGGGUCAAUGUCACGUGACCCAGAGACAGACCUCCAAGCAUGAGCUACAGACGAGGAAAAGGCUGUGUGGCAGAAAGCAGGCUGCACGGUUGUUGAAAGAGUUUGGCGGUGCCCCCAGGGCUGUCCUUGUCUUCAAAGUUGACACAUGGCACGGACCAUGCAUCAAAACGGGAAAUGAUAGCUGCGUUAAAGCAUUGGUUUCUCUAAUUACUCUAAUAAAAAAAAAAUGUUUACGCUGUUUGCGCAACUCAUAACAUGGGUUGAGGUUUGAAGGUAGAGAAGGCCAUGUCCCUACGUCCAAACAGGACUCAGACGCGGUAGUGAUAAUGAUAUUCUCCAGUGAUAAUGGCACACCUUUUGUGAGCCAUGCCCUUAAGUAGGUGGGUGAAUAUUUGGGUAUUGAAUUAAAGCAUCACUGUGCAUAUCAUCCAGCUAGUGGUGGGGUGGCAGAGAAAGAAAAUGGGACACUGAAAAACAGACUGAGCAAAUACUGUUCUGAAACAGGCUUAGGAUGGGCUUAGCCCCUUUGGGAUACUGUUUGGGAGACCUCCACACACAGGAAUUGGACCUGUGACAGCUCCUCUUCCUGAUGCUGCAGCAUGUGAUGAUGCAAUGUUAGGUUACUGUGCAACCUUGUCCUCUGCUCUGCACUCUAUCCAUAAGCAGGUAAAGGCAGCAUUUCCAACUCCAGCCACAGUUCCGCUGCAUGAUCUGAAGUCCGGAGAGUGGGCCAUGAUCAAGGACUUCCGCAGGACCAGGUGGAACAAGCCACGAUGGACUGGGCCAUUCUAGAUCCUUUUUGUCACUCACUCCAUGGUAAAGGCCAGCCAGAGAGCCAUGUGGAUGCAUGCGAGCCACUGCAGGAGGGUGCCAGAGCCGAGCACUGAGCUGGAGAAGACCGGACUGCAAUAGGAGAACUAGACCAUAAUUCUCUAUCAAGAGGCCUCUAGGAGGACCUACGCUCACGAGCAACGAUCUGCAUAUACACACCCACACACAUGACGCACUACACCCCGACACGUCAACACACCAAUUCCACGCGACUCCACGAUAGACAGUCUUAAGUGAUAUCUAGUAGCCUGCGAAAUCACAUGUAGUCUUUGGAGAAAAUGUUGAUGACACGGAAACUGUACUCUUAGGAGGACUGAACUUCAUUAGUGCAUACUAUAUAGCCAUGUGACCAGGACAAAGGUUAGACGACAUGACUUUGCUACCGCACCUCUUAUGCCCCAAAGCUCCCUGACCACAGACUACUGUUGCAGACUAGACACAAAUCAUUAGAUGUCGACCUGCACAUCCACUCAUACAUACAAACCUAUUCCUAAUCGUGCACCCUUCUCCUGGUACAGGUGGUAUCUCUUAGUAAGCCCUUUCAUAGAAAUAAACUCACAAAUCACUGGGACCGUUCAAGACAACACUGGGGGCCCAGUGUUGUCGGGAAAGAUAAACCAUCCAGCCAUCCAUCUUCUACCGCUUACUCCUUCUUCAGGGUCGCGGGGGAACCUGGAGCCAAUCCCAGGGAGCAUCGGGCACAAGGAGGGGUACACCCUGGACAGGCUGCCAGUCCAUUGCAGGGCACAAUCACAUACACACUCACACACCCAUUCAUACACUAUGGACACUUUAGACACACCAAUCAGCCUACCAUGCAUUUCUUUGGACUGGGGGAGGAAACCGGAGUACCCAGAGGAAACCCCCACAGCACGUUCUGUAUCGCCUUUUGUCAUAAGAAUCAUUGCCAACAGUGCUACCCACGCAACGUCACACGUCCCCUUGUCACGCAGACACAUAAUGGUUAUUCUAUCAUUGAACACAUGCGGUCUGCGAUACGUAACCCUCCACAGACUAGCGAGAUGGGGUUUGAUUGGCUGAACUCAGUACUCGGGGGAUGGGGCUCAUGGAUAUUAACCGUCUGUCUACCAAUAGGUGCAAUAAUUCUUCUUAUCUUGCUCAUUUUGCCUUGUAUUGUUGCUCUCGUUCGGAGCAGUCUCUCACGCUCGUUGAAAUCACUAAUGACCAAACGCUGACGUUGACAAAGACUGAGUACGAUCCCUAUGAUGACCAACCUGACUUGUAUCCUAAACCUGACCAGGUAUCAGAUUCUCCAAGCGACAAUGAUGAUGACGACCCAUUGACAUCCAUUUCACAUCUAUUGUAAAUAUGCAUUUGACCAUGACGAUUCUCAUUUCACUCUAAAAUAAGCUUGCUUGACUACAGGAUACUUUAUAUCCGCAAAAACAGCCUUAGCGCCUUCAUUAUGUCUGUAUCAUGUUGAAUUCAGUUGAAACGUGAAAGGAUUCUGAAGUUCUGAUGUAUUCACAGCAAAGUAAUUUCUCUGUUAAUUUUAGUUAUCAUAUUUUGUAAUGAUAAAAUGGGGGAAAUGAGAGGGAAAUUACUCAUUUUUACUUUGUAAUAAGUUUGUUCUUGCUCAUGUUCAUCUGAGGAUAACGCCUAAGAAGGCCAUGUCAUGUCACUGAGAUCAGUACAGAAUGUUUAUCUGCUUACAGAGACACAAACAUGUUCUUCUGUUCAAGGUUCGCCUGUACAAGAUCCUAAAACAAAGCCUGUUUGAACUGCCUCAAACUGCUUCUUAUCGGUACGCAGAAUUAUGUCAUGCUCUGCUUUUCAUAUAUAUAGUAGUGGUUUAAUACAAGGCCUUCAGAGCGCUCUCAUUAUUCUCUCCUGCUUUAUUCUAUCCUGUACUAACCAUCUUUCUGUAACAAACCUUUUUACCUUCAGAGGACGAGUCUGCAAGUGUUGUCUAAUUUCCACGACAAAACACACACACACACAGUAGAGACACGACAUAGGGGCAGUGGUGACUCAGUGGUUAAAUGCUCUGGGUUACUGAUCAGAAGGUCAGGAGUUCAAGCCCCAGCACUGCCAAGCUACCACUGUUGGGCCCUUGAGCAAGGCCCUUAACCCUCUACUGCUCAGUUGUAUAAAUGAGAUAAAUGUAAAUCGCUCUGGAUAAGGGCAUCUGUCAAAUUCCCAUAAAUGUGAUAUACUAUAAUAUAAUAUAUAUUACCUAGUGCAGGCCUAAUGACAGUCAUUUUUAAAACUUUUUUUUUGUUACUUAGGUUUAGGUUAAGGUUAGUGAUAGGUGUAAGUUCCUUACAAGAAUAGCAAGACAAAGGUGUUGGUGUGUGUGUGUGUGUGUGUGUGUGUGUGAGUGACACACAGACCCACCUGAGGCCUGCACUUCAGUGACGUACUGCAGCAGCUCCUGGCCCUGGUGGAUGGCUUGGAACGUCAGGUUGUUCAUAGUCAGCGCUUUCUCUGCGUGCUGCUGAAGCCUCUGCUCAGCCACAGUCAACUCCUCAGUGUCAAACUCCCUGAGCUGCUGAGACAACUCAUCACUCCACGACUCCAGGUCCGAGAUCACCUAUAAACACACACGUGUGCACACACACACACACAAACACACACAGAAACAAUGGUCAAGGCCAAAAUGA